CCUACGGGAGGCAGCAGUGAGGAAUAUUGGUCAAUGGACGAGAGUCUGAACCAGCCAAGUAGCGUGAAGGAUGACUGCCCUAUGGGUUGUAAACUUCUUUUAUAUGGGAAUAAAAUGUUCCACGUGUGGGAUUUUGUAUGUACCAUAUGAAUAAGGAUCGGCUAACUCCGUGCCAGCAGCCGCGGUAAUACGGAGGAUCCGAGCGUUAUCCGGAUUUAUUGGGUUUAAAGGGAGCGUAGGUGGAUUGUUAAGUCAGUUGUGAAAGUUUGCGGCUCAACCGUAAAAUUGCAGUUGAAACUGGCAGUCUUGAGUACAGUAGAGGUGGGCGGAAUUCGUGGUGUAGCGGUGAAAUGCUUAGAUAUCACGAAGAACUCCGAUUGCGAAGGCAGUUCACUGGACUGCAACUGACACUGAGUCUCGAAAGUGUGGGUAUCAAACAGGAUUAGAUACCCGUGUAGUC
Molecule: ribosomal RNA, 460 nt
Filed under: uncultured bacterium
Lineage: Bacteria
Description: partial 16S ribosomal RNA
Rfam family: Bacterial small subunit ribosomal RNA
Source: RNAcentral